RNAcentral lists this long non-coding RNA (411 nucleotides) under Mytilus galloprovincialis (Mediterranean mussel). The record is from RNAcentral. Lineage: Eukaryota; Metazoa; Mollusca; Bivalvia; Mytilida; Mytilidae.
AGAAAUUAAUAUUUAUUUGGCUGUAAAUUUGUCAUGGCAUUUAAUGCAACAAAGAAACACAACCAACUUGUCAAUCAAAACUUGAUGACGAUUGAAUUACUGAAGGGCGAUCCAGCAGUAAUAAAGUUAUAUCAGGAGCCACUGGGUAAUCCAUAGCAGCUUAAAGUAAAUUCAGCCUGUCCAUUCACACUAACAAAAGCACUAAACUCGAGUCUGUUAUUUAUGCCAUGACGCUGGUUCUAUAAUCAUUCUUCCAAAACUGAAAAGAUAAAUGAAAAGCAGCAGAAAAAAAUAUAAUAGGAAACUGGGAGGGCGGGUAAAUCUUGUAGCUUUGGUCAAGCUCCGUGUAAGGUUUGAAUCCAAAUGACCAAACUUCACGAGGUAAAUUGCACGGACUAACAUUUCGCGGGC